CUUUUUUGUCAUCAUGCGAGUAUACUCGCGGACAGUCGGACAGCUCCGGAAUAUACCGUUGAGAAUGUUUACAUAGCGAGGAUUCGGGAAAGAACACAGCGAAGCAUGAGAUUUUUGUCAAUAAAACUAUAGAAAUACACAGUGUUUGUAAUUUUAAUUUAUGUUGGGAAUCAACGGGAGGCAAUUCUCAACAACUGGCACCUCCGUGAUGGGAUUUGUGAGAUUUUAAGCUCGAACAAGAGCAAGAACCUAGCAUAUUUAUCGAGUGACAAAUCGAAACUAAACGACAGCGUACAAACUACA
Molecule: non-coding RNA, 303 nt
Organism: Paramuricea clavata
Lineage: Eukaryota; Metazoa; Cnidaria; Anthozoa; Malacalcyonacea; Plexauridae
Source: the annotation of a GenBank genome assembly